This 442-nucleotide ribosomal RNA is filed under the name uncultured bacterium. RNAcentral describes it as "partial 16S ribosomal RNA". It matches the Rfam family "Bacterial small subunit ribosomal RNA", at positions 338 to 795 of the family's 1533-position model. The record is from RNAcentral.
CCUACGGGUGACAGCAGUGGGGAAUAUUGGGCAAUGGGCGCAAGCCUGACCCAGCAACGCCGCGUGAAGGAAGAAGGCUUUCGGGUUGUAAACUUCUUUUGUCAGGGAAGAGUAGAAGACGGUACCUGACGAAUAAGCCACGGCUAACUUCGCGCCAGCAGCCGCGGUAAUACGUAGGUGGCAAGCGUUGUCCGGAUUUACCGGGUGUAAAGGGCGUGUAGCCGGGUUGACAAGUCAGGUGUGAAAUCCUGCGGCUUAACCGCAGAACUGCAUUUGAAACUGUUGAUCUUGAGUACUGGAGAGGCAGACGGAAUUCCUGGUGUAGCGGUGAAAUGCGUAGAUAUUAGGAGGAACACCAGUGGCGAAGGCGGUCUACUGGACAGCAACUGACGGUGAGGCGCGAAAGCGUGGGGAGCAAACAGGAUUAGAUACCCGUGUAGUC